RNAcentral lists this unclassified non-coding RNA (400 nucleotides) under soil metagenome. Its description in RNAcentral is "partial contains 5.8S ribosomal RNA, internal transcribed spacer 2, and large subunit ribosomal RNA". The stretch from base 1 to 122 matches the Rfam family "5.8S ribosomal RNA", at positions 35 to 154 of the family's 154-position model. The record is from RNAcentral.
GAUGAAGAACGUAGUGAAAUGCGAUACGUAAUGUGAAUUGCAGAAUCCCGUGAACCAUCGAGUCUUUGAACGCAAGUUGCGCCUCAAGCCAUUAGGUUGAGGGCACGUCUGCCUGGGCGUCACAUAUCGUUGCCUGAUGCCAGUUUCCUCGUGAUGGGUGACUGUGCAGGGCGAAUGAUGGCUUCCCGUGAGCAUUGUUGCCUCAUGGUUGGUUGAAAAUUGAGUCCUUGGUAGGGAGCGCCGUGAUAGAUGGUGGUUGAGUGACGAACGAGACCCAAUCAUGUGAGACCCCUACCGAAUUUGGCCUUCAUGACCCACAUGCGUCUUUGGAACGCUCAUGACGAGACCUCAGGUCAGGCGGGGCUACCCGCUGAGUUUAAGCAUAUCAAUAAGCGGAGGA